GACCUCAAAUCAGGUAGGGCUACCCGCUGAACUUAAGCAUAUCAAUAAGCGGAGGAAAAGAAACUAACAAGGAUUCCCCUAGUAGCGGCGAGCGAAGCGGGAUGAGCUCAAAUUUGUAAUCUGGCGUCCCCUGGGCGUCCGAGUUGUAAUCUAUAGAAGCGUUUUCCGUGCCGGACCGUGUCCAAGUCCCUUGGAACAGGGUAUCAAAGAGGGUGACAAUCCCGUGCUUGACACGACGACCGGUGCUCUGUGAUACGCUCUCUACGAGUCGAGUUGUUUGGGAAUGCAGCUCAAAACGGGUGGUAAAUUCCAUCUAAAGCUAAAUAUUGGCGAGAGACCGAUAGCGAACAAGUACCGUGAGGGAAAGAUGAAAAGCACUUNNNNNNNNNNNNNNNNNNNNNNNNNNNNNNGUUGAAAGGGAAACGAUUGAAGUCAGUCGUGUCGGGAGGAUUCAGCCGGCCCUGCCGGUGUACUUCCUCCCGACGGGUCAACAUCAGUUUCGUCCGGCGGAUAAGGGCGGCGGGAAGGUAGCACCCUCGGGUGUGUUAUAGCCCGCUGUCGCAUACAUCGGUCGAGACUGAGGAAUGCAGCUCGCCUCUAAUGGCCGGGGUUCGCCCACGUCCGAGCUUAGGAUGUUGACAUAAUGGCUUUAAACGACCCGUCUUGAAACACGGACCAAGGAGUCUAACAUAUCUGCSAGUGUUUGGGUGUCAAACCCGGGCGCGUAAUGAAAGUGAACGUAGGARGGAUCCGCAAGGAGCACCUUUGACCGAUCUGGAUCUUCUGUGAUGGAUUUGAGUAAGAGCAUAUAUGCUGGGACCCGAAAGAUGGUGAACUAUGCCUGAAUAGGGCGAAGCCAGGGGAAACUCUGGUGGAGGCUCGUAGCGAUUCUGACGUGCAAAUCGAUCGUCAAAUUUGGGUAUAGGGGCGAAAGACUAAUCGAACCAUUU
RNAcentral lists this ribosomal RNA (950 nucleotides) under Tremella mayrhoferi. RNAcentral describes it as "partial 28S ribosomal RNA". It matches the Rfam family "Eukaryotic large subunit ribosomal RNA", at positions 1 to 945 of the family's 3401-position model. The record is from RNAcentral. Lineage: Eukaryota; Fungi; Basidiomycota; Tremellomycetes; Tremellales; Tremellaceae.